RNAcentral lists this long non-coding RNA (8464 nucleotides) under Brassica napus (rape). Its description in RNAcentral is "long non-coding RNA (BNAP_LNC026206)". Lineage: Eukaryota; Viridiplantae; Streptophyta; Magnoliopsida; Brassicales; Brassicaceae. The record is from RNAcentral.
GCUACAUGUCACUAUAGAUUCCCACCUUCAGGCCCUUGUAAGCAUGAUGCCGGCUGCAAGAAUUUGUGCACACAGGCUCCUGAAGAUCCAAAUUAUCUAGCGUGCAUUACUUCUGCCCCAAUGUUUGGCAAAUGUUGUUGUUUAGUAAGACCAUAGGUUGUCUAAUGAUACAUAAAUAUAUUUGUGUAAUGAUUGAAGUGGGAAGUACUACAAUAAAGUCAUGCGUAAAGCAUGGUUAAUGAGAUUGAUCUCUAAUUACCAUUAAGUUAUUGCUGAGAUAACAUGUUUCUUGAAUAUGGAUCCUUUCUAGUUUCUAUAUAUUGAAACUGGUUUGUCAUUCAUCACUUGUAUAUAUAUAUGCUGGUGGUGAUGCUCCUCUGGUGCUCGUCAAUGGAGUCGUGGCUACAGAAAACAUGAAUCGCCAUAUCGCCAUUUCCGUCCAUUUUUUUUUUCAGGUGUAGACACAACAAAAGAGGAACUGGUGCGGGUUCUGUCUGCCCCGCAAGACCCGCAAUGACCCAAACCGCAAAGGCCCAACCCGCAUGAGACUUAACCCGCGAGAACCGCUCACAAAUGGGCCUACAUUAUCUCAACCCAAACCCGCCCCGCAUGGAUCUUGUACGGGCCAGACCCGCGGGCUGCGGUCCAAUUGCCAUUCCUAGUUUCACCGGAUCCUUUACUCUAAUUUUGGAAUUUGUGUUAAGUUUGGAAUUUUUUUUUUUUGCUGAGAAUAUAAAUAAUGCAAGAUUUGCAUACAAUAUUGCAAUUAGAUUCUGAAGAUAUAUGUACAUAUAUUAUUUCUUUGUUAAUUAAUUAAAUUAGGAAUGAAUGUUCAAAUCUACUCCAGAGAGAAUAUUAUAUAAUGAAUGCAAGAUUUGCACACAUUAUUGCAAUUGGAUUCUUUAGAUAUAUGUAAAUAUAUUCUUUCUUUGUUUGAAACUAAUUAGUAACGUAUGUACUUAAAAAAAACGUAUAUACAAUUUACGCAAGUAUUUAAAGGGAGAUGAUUAUUUGCUCUAAACCCAAAAGAAAAACAUCUCCACAAAAGAAAAGAGAUACCAAGAAACAAUGUCAGCACAGAAGAUUCAACUUGCUUGUUUGAUCCUAGCUUUUUUUCUUCUCUUUUCUCAAUCAACUGGUAAUAUAUAUUAUCUUACUAUAGUUCUUUGAUAAUCGAAUUAUAUAAUAAAAUGAGCUGAUUCAGAUCAUUUAUUUUUAAAUAAACUUUUCAGCUACAUGUCACUAUAGAUUCCCACCUUCAGGCCCUUGUAAGCAUGAUGCCGGCUGCAAGAAAGACCGGAUGGACGGUGACCGGAGGCUCAAUAUAAUCCAGCACAAGCUUUUCCAGAUCUUCUUUUCCCAAACUCCCCAUAGUAACUAUUCUCACCUGUCUCUUCCAAUUCUUCUAGGUUUUCUUUUUCUUGGAAAAAGUUAGAGAGCAAAAAAUGACUUACAAAAUACAGUCUAUAUAAAAGUGUGUGACGUUUGACCAAAAAAAAAAAAAAAAAAGAUUCAGUGAUGAUGAACAGAGAGAGAGUUAGAGGGUUUAGAAGAUAGUAUUUGUGUUUUAUUAACUUUCCCAAAUGUUGAGAAGCAAACAUAUAAACGUGAAUGUAACCACUAAACCGUUUAAUAUCCGUCGAACAACACCUUCUAGUAAUAACAAAGUAGGUAUUCUAAUAAAUCAUACCAUGGUAUCGUCUGGACCAGCAGGAUUCCAGAAGCAAGGAAAUGGGAAAACAAAGCUUUCAUUGAUAUGAUCAUGAGAAGAGAAUAAUAGCCUUGAUAAUUUCUUAAAUCUUUUGUUUUAUCUUUGUUGUUUCCACAACAUUGCUACUUGCAUUCCCUAGAAUCUGUUUGAGUUUUCUCCAGCAAACUGCAGUACACAUCUGCACCUUGUUUUUGCUGAAAAAUAUCCUCCAUAUGUGCUUGAAGUCGAACCAGCAAAAAAUAGAUUGUUGUCUCAGGCCUGCAACUAGCCGUCGUUACUGCUUGGCAUGGCUGGGUGGCUCCAGAACGUUCAGUAACCAGUUCAUGUCGGAUACAUUCUUCUCAUGCAUAAGGGUGAUGGGAUUCACAAGCUCACAGUUGUUAGUAUUUUGAUAUGUGAUAAAAUAAAGAGAAAGGUCACCUCUGGGUAGCUUCAUGUACCUCAAAGCUAAUCAUUUCAUUAACCGCCCAAUGCCGAUUUUCUUUUGCUAGUUGAAAGAACGACUCCCAUGAGGUUUCGAGUUUUAAGUGAACCACCUACACGAUAACACUGUUCAACAUGCAGCACCUUAUACUUACAACCAUAGAUGCUAGUAGUAGUAGAUCCGCCCGAGUCUUAAACCAUGCAUUCACUAUCCAGUCUUGAGUUUCUGUAAACUCAUAGAUUCUUUUGCACAGAGCGAUUCGAAUUUGACGUGGCUUAUCCACUGAUACAUCAACCACUUCUUCAACCUCUUUUAACAUCUGAACUCACUCGAUCAGUAUCAUCAUAUCCCUUGUGCUUCAACUUAUGAUCAGCUUCGGUUGAGAUUGAUGUAUCAGCACGAAAGCGGUCUUUUCAAUUUUAGACGGAUUGAAAGCUCCCCGUUGCUGCUUGUCAUCGACAGAAGAGAUGAUCCGGUUACCCCAAUGAGACAGAGUUUCUGUAGAGUAACCGAUAGAUCCAGUCCACAACUCACCCAGAGCUUGUGAACCGGCCGUUAAUCAAAUCCUACAGUAUGGAAGAAGGAUCAAAGAGAUUCCAUGGAUGAUUACAGGGCUUUAGAAGAUAAUAAUAUUUGUGUUUGAUUAACUUUCCCAAAUUUUCAGAAGCAAACAUAUAAACGUAAAUGUAACCACUAAAUCAGUUUAAAUAAAUCAAAUAAAGAUAACCAGAGUUAAGGGACUUAAGACUACGUUAAGAAAAACAUUAGAUUUUUAGUAAAAGUAUAGAGACUAGAGAGAGAGAAUGGAGGAAAGAGGGGAUGAUGAAAUAUAGUUUUUUUUUUGGUUAUUAGAUCAACUUUCCCUAAACAUAACCAGAAUUAAUAGAUCAAAUAACCAAUGCAUAAACCAUUAAACCCUCAAACAUUCUGGUCAAACAAAGAAAAAUUAAUAAAAUCAAACCAACUAAAAAUCUGUAGGAGAUGAUUUGUUGGAUAUACUACUAAAAUUAACAUGUUGAGAAUGAACACACAGAAAAAAAAACAGAAUUACAUGUGAAACUAGAGAGAAGACAUCUGAAUGGACCGUCACAAAUGCUGGGAUUGACCAGAAGGGCACAAAAAAAUCUGGAAUAAACCCUUUCAAUUUUUAUUUUUUUAAUGAAUUAAAAAUAAAUCAAAAUUAAGCAGAAAAUAUCAUAAAACCUAAAGCUUCAACAUAUUUACAUAUCCAGCCAGUAUACUCACCCACUUACCAUUAACCCGACCCAGCCUGUGUUUUAGUAAACCUAAAUCCCCAAUUUCUUUGUCUUCGACGUAACCAACGAAACUUACAUACUAAAAUCACGAUCUUCCUCUAUCUCCCAUCACUGAUUAAACUCGGCAACAAUCAUCUUGAAUCUCAUAUAUUUCUCUAAUUUCGUGUCACUCAUUGAGAAACUAUGUCUCCAGAAAAGAAAAACAAGGAAGAAACCCAACCCAAUCCUUCUUUUUCCCCCAUUUCUUUCAUCAUAAAACAAAAUAAAAAAAUUUCUUCAAUCAUCCACUAUUAUUUUCCUUUUUAUCUCAUAUCAAUCAACCCAUAGUUAUAUUUAAUCAAUUUUAUCUUAUCUAGAAUCCAAUUUCAUCUUUUCCUUACGAUAUUUAAGAUAAUGAUCAAGAACACAAGGUAUUACUAGUACAACUAGUAAACCUCAAACUAGUACAACUAGUACAACUCAAACUAGUACAACUUGUACAACUCGAAUUAAUACAACUAGUAUAAAUUGAGUAUCUCCUAUACAUAUUUGAGAAGUGAUUUUCUUAUGUGUCAUCACCAUAUUUAUUCUCAUCCAAAAAAAAAAAGAUAACAUGGCUUUGAGAAAAUUAUGAAAUGGCAUCACUUAAUUAUGACAUGUAUAAUUUCUUUUAUUGAUUGUUUCCGGCAUAUGAAAAUGCUAAAAAAGAGAAUGAUGUAGAACCAUUAAGACACAUUGGUCUAAUCUCUUCUGCUUGCAUAUGUCAAAUAUAUGAAUAGUAUAUUUUUAAUAAUAUUUGAUUUGGAAUUGAUAUGUUUAUAAGUUAUACUAGUUGUACGAUUUUCGGAAAAAAAAUUUCUUCAUCUUUUUAUUCUCGAGGCCAAAAAGCUAGAGCCAGAAAAUUCUUCAACCAUUGCUCUAAGACGCAAAUCACCAGAAAGAAGAAAAAGAUUGGGUUUGAUGUAUGAUUUUUUUUUUUGCAAAUAAUUGUUUUAAUCGUGAUGUAUUAAUACAAUUGUUAUCGACAAUUGUAAAAUUUUAGUUUGUUUCUCGAGAUAAUAAUAGCUAUUAGAAAUAAACAAAAUUGCAACAACUAAUACAAAUAAUCAGUAGAAAUAUUAAUUAAGAAUUAUUUGCCAAAAUAAAUCAUUUUAAUCAAUUUUUUUUAAAUUACAUUUAAUUAGUAAACGAUAUAAAUCAGCAGUUGUAAAUUAUACAUAUUUUUGAAUAACUUCUUAAAAUUACUAAUUUUGUGUAAAAUGAAAUGAUGCAAAUAAUUUAUAUUUUUACAUCAGUUAUUAAAUAAAUUGAUGUAAAUUAUUUGCAUCACUAAUUAUUUUAGUACAACCGAUACAACUAAAGCAACAUACUAACAUGUAAUUCACCCACAAUGUUUAAAACGUGAUACACAUUUAAAACUUGAUGCAUAAUACAAGAUGAAAUAACAAAGUUGUACUAGUAUUUGAGUUGUACCGGUUUGUACAUAGUUGUAUUAGUUUUUGAGUUGUACCGGUUUGUACAUAGUUGCACUUUGGUAUUGAAAUCGAAAAAACUAGUUGUACCACAUAGCAUUAACUUACCUCAGUUGUACCACUUCUUUAUGUGUACAUGCCUUUGCCCCAAUGAAAUGAAAUCAUCAAUUUUGUUAAAAUACAUUUCAUGUAUGUUUUCCAAAAAUUAUGUGGACAAAGAAGUUAACAAACCUUAAAAGUAUAAGGUAGAUCAUGCAAACUUAUGAGAUGGUGUAAAAACUGCAAAAGAAAAAAACAAAAUUAUCACAAAUAAAAAGGAACCUAUCUAAAUACUUACCAAUUUGGCCAGCUAAUUUUUUUUUUCAUAUGGAAUAUUUCAAUUUCAGAAUCUGAAUAGUUGUACUAGUUAUAUCAGUAUCACUAGUCUGGUAAAUAAGACAUAGUCAUGUACCUACUUAGUACUCCGACACUGAAGGACAGGUCUGGACGUGUGUGAAGCAAGUAACGCAGACACCCAAUGCUUCUUCUAUAGUCUCUUUCGUUAAUACUCCUCUCUUCAAUUGAUCUUGACAGCUUCACGUUAAAGUCCAUAGGUAUAGACGCCGAGUUGCAGGUAUCCAUUCCACAUUCUUCAAGGAUCUUGCGAGCAUAUCUUUCUUGUUUCAAGGUAAAGCCUUCUUGACUUUGACACACUUCAAUUCCUAAGUAGUAUGUUAAUUUCCCGAGAUCACUCAUCUCAAACUUAGACGCCAUCUCUUUCUUAAAUUGGUGAAUCGUUACCAAAGAUGAUCCCGUGACUAGUAGAUCAUCCACAUAGACCACAACAACAAGCGUUCCACCCUUUUCUUCCUUCCUAUAUAAAGACGGCUCUUUUGAACAUCUCUGAAACUUGAACUCACGCAGGAUCGCAUUAAGCUUGACAUUCCAGGCCCGGGGGGCUUGCUUUAAUCCGUAGAGAGCUUUCUUUAGCUUGUAGACUUUAUUCUCCUUACCUGCAACCUUAAAACCUUCUGGCUGAGUGACAAACACUUCUUCUCUUAAUUCUCCAUGAAGGAAUGCAGUCUUAACAUCGAGAUGGUGUAUCUCCCAUCCUUUUGAGGCUGCAAGAGCAAUCACUAAACGAAUGGUUUCAAUGCGAGCCACUGGUGCGAAGACUUCAUCAUAAUCAACUCCUUGCUUCUGGACAUAGCCUUUGGCAACAAGUCGUGCGUUAUACUUAAUGAUAGUACCAUCUGCGCUUCGUUUAAUCUUAAACACCCACUUCAAGCCAAUAGGCUUUACUCCCAUAGGUAGGUCAACAAGUUCCCAUGUGUUGUUCUUCUCUAUACUGAAAAUCUCAUCUUCACAGGCAUCAAUCCAUACUUUUAGUUCCUUGGCUUCAUUGAAGUCCCAAGGUUCAUCAUUCACUAUAGAUAAGAGACGCUCACAUUCUGCUUCAGCCAUAAGAACGUAAUCGUCGAAAUACGCAGGUUUGGUGCUCGUUCUUGAUGAUCGUCUUAGGCGUGGCUGCUCAUCUUGAUUGUCACUACUGUUAUCUUCAUCAUCUCUUCAUCUCCACGAUCAUCUGUCUCUGACUCGAUCUCUGGUUGAGUUAUCUCAUCAGUUUCCUUGCUCUCUGUUCCGUUAAUUGUUCCUUUCACUUCAAACGUGAAGGUAUCACCGUCGUCAUCUUGAGCUGACUCUCCAUUAGUCCAGUUCCAUCCUUUAUUUUCAUCAAAAACAACAUCACGACUGACUACUAUCCUUUCCUUGGUAGGAUCGAGUAGCCGAUAGGCUUUGGAGCCUGGUUCUGUUCCAAGAUGAACAAGGAUCCUAGACCUAUGGUCAAGCUUCUUCUGUCCUAUCUUAUUGGUUUUAGCAUAACAGAUGCAUCCAAAUACCUUAAGGUGAGCGAUGUUAGGUGUCUUGCUUCGCAAGGCUUCAUAUGGUGUCUUCCCAUCUAGUGUCUUUGUUGAGAUACGAUUGAUCAGGUAUGUAGAAUGUAUAACAGCCUCGCCCCACAAGAAAUUUGGUACCUUCAUGUGUUUUAGUAUACUUCUAGUCAUCUCUAGGAGCGUUCUGUUUCGUCUCUCCACAACCCCAUUCUGUUGGGGUGAAUACGGUGCCGUCAAGUGUCUGUUAACACCAUUCUUCUCACAAAACGCAACAAACUCAUUCGAACAGAACUCUCCACCUCUAUCUGUCCGAAAUGUUCUCAACUCAGACUUUGUUUCUUGUUCUGCCAGUACCUUGAAGUUUUUAAACUUCUCAAACGCUUCAUUUUUUUCUUGUAGUAAUAUGGUCCACAUAUACCGGGAGUAGUCAUCGAUUAGUACAAAAACAUAUCUCUUGUGCGCAUGAGUUGGUGGUGUGAUAGGGCCGCAAAGAUCGCCAUGGACUAGUUCGAGAGGUCGUGUGGCUCGGUACAUAGUUGCUUGAGGAAAAGACUUUCUUGUUUGUUUUCCAAGCAGACAAGACAUACAUGUUUCUUUCUCAACCGUGAGUGCUGGUAUGCCAAUUACUCACUCUGUAUUGAUCAUUGCUUUCAUUGUACCAGUGUUGAUGUGUCCAAGGCGUGCGUGCAACGUUGAUGAUUCACUCUUUGCUGUGAUUUGGAGGCAGUCCUGACUAUCUACUUCGAGAGUGACUUUGUAUAGACGAUUCUUCGUUCUAGUUGUCCUUAUCAUCACCUUUCCAACACGAUCAUACAGAGUAAGUUGAUCUUCCUUCAUUCGAACUUCACAACCAGCUUCAGUGGCUUGACCCAAGCUCACUAUAUUGCUUUUGAGUCCCGGAAUAUAAUACAUGUUACCUAAUAUCUUUUUCUCACCUCCUUUGAACAUGAACUGAAUUGAUCCUUUUCCUCUUAUGUCAAUACGAGAAUCAUCUCCAAACCGCACUUUUCCGGUGAUUGUUUCAUAAAGUGUAACAAAGAACAUUCUGUUGCCGCUCAUAUGGUUACUAGCUCCAUUAUCUAGAUACCAUACGUCCCUAGCAUCAAGGUUAGUAUCAAACACGCUUGGAUUGACUUUUUUUCAUUGAGAUAGAUAACCUCAUGCAUCAUUAACUCGUCAGCCUCUUGUGUUUCCUCUGUUUUAGCUUCAACUGUCUCUUGAAGCUUAAGUCCCUGUUUAUCAGGACAUUCAGACGCGUAGUGCCCUUGUUUAUCACAGUUGAAACAUGUGAUGUGGGAGAGAUCACGUCCUUGUCCUGUCUUGUACGCAUCUCUUUGGCUAUGAAAGUUCCCAUACCUGCCGCGACCUCUUCCUCUCCAGCCAGAACGUCCUCCUCGUCCUCUUCCUCUAGCUCCACUAGAGUUACCGUAACCAGUUUGUUGUCCUUCAGAAUUGGCAUACAUUAGUUUGCCUUGUUCAUCAGACGCACACAGCCUCCUGAAGAUCCAAAUUAUCUAGCGUGCAUUACUUCUGCCCCAAUGUUUGGCAAAUGUUGUUGUUUAGUAAGACCAUAGGUUGUCUAAUGAUACAUAAAUAUAUUUGUGUAAUGAUUGAAGUGGGAAGUACUACAAUAAAGUCAUGCGUAAAGCAUGGUUAAUGAGAUUGAUCUCUAAUUACCAUUAAGUUAUUGCUGAGAUAACAUGUUUCUUGAAUAUGGAUCCUUUCUAAUUUCUAUAUAUUGAAACUGG